UGAAUAUGUAAGCUUUGUUACUUUCCAUCAAUGUGUGAUGACUUGUUACUUUCCAUCAAUGUGUGAUGACUCUAAGUAGCUUUGGUGGUUCUCUUUCUUCCUUGUAAUUUAUUGAUUUUUAUUUUAUUUUUUCGGAAAAAUCAAUUUCAUUAACAAAGGAAAACUGUACCCAAAAAAAAAAAAGAAGGCCCAAUCCAGGCCAAGAAGCCCAACAGGCCCGAAGGCAAACCAGGAAAUUAAAAACAGCCCACCACCAACUGUCCUUUAGACCGUUGCAUCAGCAACAAUUUGAAAAGAAUGAUGUUGGGGCAAGGUUCAAAUCAACAAAAACAGAGCUUGGGAGACUCCAAGCUGCAGCAAUGGCCCUUGAAACUCUUACACAUCUUGCAGGAGAGCAGUGGGUUGCGACUUGCGAAGACGGUUGAAGAUGAGUCCCAGCACAGUGCCAGGAGAAGCUUGUUUAUUUGAGCAGGUUGAUAGUAAGAGUGCUACUUUUGACUUUCUGAACGCAAACCGCAUGGUUUUUUGAGACUGUUGCUGGUCUUCUUGUUAGGCAGAUUUCAGGAUUAGGAUAUGAUUUACUUGAAUUGUUAUAUUGGUUCACUUCACUGUUACUCAACAACUAUGCUUAUUUUUAGCCAGGUAUUUCUUGUAACCUUUGUUGUUGUUAAUAUUGCUUCAUUUGUGACCUCGUCACAUGCUAUCUUGGAGUCUGAUUUCUCCAACUCAUUAUGAGUUAAUUCCUCAUUUCCAUAUAACUCAAAUCAUUCAUAGGAACUAUACAAUAUAUAUUCUCCUUUCAUAGGGACAAGGAGGAUAAUAUUUUUAACUUCUGGGAAAAAAAAGAAGAAGAAGAUGAUGAAUCAUAGUCGUAGUUUUGCAUUGAUUCUGUGUAAAAUAGUUAAUGUAGAUAAGUCCCCUUGAAUUGAGUGUAGAAGACAAAUCUGAGACAUCUGAAAGUAACCAGAGCCUCAAUCUAACCCACCUGUCUUGUUAGGAUUUAUUGCUAGUUAACUUGCACUGAUGGCACACUUAAAACAGAUUAAGUUACACGUAAAGUAGGUCCAACACCUGAUGAAGGACUAAGAAAUUAACAAAAAUGUUAACUACCAAAAGAAGAUUAAGACCCAACAUACAAUAAGUUCAGCCCCAAACGCCUUUAGAUGAUUGAGACAUUUGAAGUUGUUACUGACAGUAGUUAGAAAUCCCCGUCAGACAUGCUAUUUGUGUCAACAUGUAAGGCUGCAAGUUGGGCAGGCCCAACCCAGCCCGGUCCCAACCCGAAGUCGGGUUGGGUUGGACCAACCCGAUGUCAAACAAAACUGGGCUCUACCAAUAACCCAAACCCAAAUGUUUUCAGGUCGGACGGGCUAACCUGUUCAACCCUUUUUCUUUUUCUUUUUUUUAAAGAUAUACAAAUUACAUUUGUUUCUUUUCUUAGUUUGAAACAUCAAUUUUUUUUGACAAAUUUUAAUUUAUUAAUAUAUAUAUAUAUAUACAUAUAUAUUUUCGAUUUGAUUAAAUGGUUAGUAUUGUGACUAAAGUAUUCAAUUAUUAAUUUUUUUGUGUACUUCCAACUCUAAUUUUAUUUUAAAUAUAAAAAUAAAAAACUUUUUCUUUUUAUUUGUUGAAAAAUAAAUAAAUAAAUAAAAUAAAAGAAAAAGUUUUUCUUUUUAUUUGUUAUUAAAUCAUUUUAAAUUAUGACAAUAAUAAUAAUAAUAAUUUUUAUUUUAAAAUUAUUAUUAAAAAAAAAAAAAAAACCCUAAAACAA
Long non-coding RNA from Cornus florida, 1771 nucleotides. RefSeq lists it as uncharacterized. The record is from RefSeq and is a predicted model, not a curated record. The transcript has 4 exons. NCBI's taxonomy places the organism in Eukaryota, Viridiplantae, Streptophyta, Magnoliopsida, Cornales, Cornaceae.